UAUUGGGCAAUGGGCGCAAGCCUGACCCAGCAAUGCCGCGUGGGUGAAGAAGGUCUUCGGAUUGUAAAGCCCUUUCGGCGGGGACGAUGAUGACGGUACCCGCAGAAGAAGCCCCGGCUAACUUCGUGCCAGCAGCCGCGGUAAUACGAAGGGGGCUAGCGUUGCUCGGAAUCACUGGGCGUAAAGGGCGCGUAGGCGGCCCUGUUGGUCCGGCGUGAAAUCCCUGGGCUUAACCUGGGGGCUGCGCUGGAGACGGCGGGGCUGGAGGCCGAGAGAGGGUGGUGGAAUUCCCAGUGUAGAGGUGAAAUUCGUAGAUAUUGGGAAGAACACCGGUGGCGAAGGCGGCCACCGGCUCGGACCUGACGCUGAGGCGCGACA
This 378-nucleotide ribosomal RNA is filed under the name uncultured bacterium. Its description in RNAcentral is "bacterial SSU rRNA". It matches the Rfam family "Bacterial small subunit ribosomal RNA", at positions 362 to 758 of the family's 1533-position model. The record is from RNAcentral.